UCCAGACUCCUACGGGAGGCAGCAGUGGGGAAUAUUGGACAAUGGGGGGAACCCUGAUCCAGCGACGCCGCGUGAGUGAAGAAGUAUUUCGGUAUGUAAAGCUCUAUCAGCAGGGAAGAAAGAAAUGACGGUACCUGACUAAGAAGCCCCGGCUAACUACGUGCCAGCAGCCGCGGUAAUACGUAGGGGGCAAGCGUUAUCCGGAUUUACUGGGUGUAAAGGGAGCGUAGACGGCGAUGCAAGUCUGGUGUGAAAGCCCGGGGCCCAACCCCGGGACUGCAUUGGAACCUGCCGGGCUGGAGUGCCGGAGGGGCAGGCGGAAUUCCUGGUGUAGCGGUGAAAUGCGCAGAUAUCAGGAAGAACACCGGUGGCGCAGGCGGCUUGCUGGACGGCAACUGACGCUGAGGCUCGAAAGCGUGGGGAGCAAACAGGAUUAGAUACCCGCGUAUG
RNAcentral lists this ribosomal RNA (450 nucleotides) under uncultured bacterium. RNAcentral's name for it is "bacterial SSU rRNA". It matches the Rfam family "Bacterial small subunit ribosomal RNA", at positions 330 to 793 of the family's 1533-position model. The record is from RNAcentral.